UUGGAUCCAUUGGAGUCAAGCUGCCUGGAAUCAACUUCUAGUUGUGGAUUGGGGGCUCCAUAGUGCUGGUCUUCCAUCCUAUCAUGAAGCUCUGUUCCCCUUCUCUAACCAAAUGAUACUUACCUUAACAUCAUGGGAACUCACCUCUGGAGCCCUUCUGUGUGGAACCUUCAUAAACUUCCUUGCAUUGUCCUGCCCGAUGAAGCUUAGAACCUCGGAACCCAUCUUGAACCCAAGAGUUCCACUAGAACAGCAUCUGUUCAACAUCUUUCUUCUUACCAGGACUCCCAAAGGUAAGUCUCCUGUUUUCUUAACUGCA
Molecule: long non-coding RNA, 319 nt
Organism: Pogona vitticeps (central bearded dragon)
Lineage: Eukaryota; Metazoa; Chordata; Lepidosauria; Squamata; Agamidae
Source: RefSeq, a predicted model, not a curated record